This 293-nucleotide ribosomal RNA is filed under the name uncultured Planctomycetota bacterium. RNAcentral describes it as "uncultured planctomycete partial 16S ribosomal RNA". Lineage: Bacteria; Pseudomonadati; Planctomycetota. The record is from RNAcentral.
GGACUACAAGGGUUUCUAAUCCCGUUCGCUCCCCUGGCUUUCGCGUCUCAGCGUCAGAAAGGGUCCAGGACCUCGCUUUCGCCACGGGCGUUCCUUCCGAUCUCAACGCAUUUCACCGCUCCACCGGAAGUUCCAGGUCCCCCUACCCCCCUCAAGACCGCCCGUAUCGGCGCCCGUUCCCCGGUUGAGCCGGGGGAUUUCAACGGCCGACGCAGCGGUCCGCCUACACGCGCUUUAAGCCCAGUGAUUCCGAAUAACGUUCGCACGGUUCGUCUUACCGCGGCUGCUGGCAC